This 209-nucleotide long non-coding RNA is filed under the name Elaeis guineensis (African oil palm). RNAcentral's name for it is "long non-coding RNA (EGUI_LNC015161)". The record is from RNAcentral. Lineage: Eukaryota; Viridiplantae; Streptophyta; Magnoliopsida; Arecales; Arecaceae.
UGGAGAUUGACUCGACAGAUUUGACUUAAAUGUAAGGUUGACUCUUGAAAUCUUUGGAAUUGGCUCCAGCUGAAGAAUUUGAAUUUUGUUGCUUAUUAUCUUUCUACUCUGAGAUAUUAGUAUGGUCGACUCUUGGAUAUUUGAGGUUAACUCAUGUUUGGGGUCGACUCGUGAAACUUCUAGAAUCGACUCGAGAUGUAAUGGGACUG